This is a long non-coding RNA of Gymnogyps californianus (California condor), 530 nucleotides long. RefSeq lists it as uncharacterized. NCBI's taxonomy places the organism in Eukaryota, Metazoa, Chordata, Aves, Accipitriformes, Cathartidae. The transcript has 3 exons. The record is from RefSeq and is a predicted model, not a curated record.
UGAAGGGAGUCUUAGUUUUGUAAAGGGAUCUACUCCAGGACUUUCUAUGUGGUAUCAUAAAUCAUUAGACACUGGCAGUAACAAGGCCCCUUUGACUGCAAGUCCUGCGACGGGCUAACCAAGGGUAGACAUGGGCAGUGGUGGCAGCCUGCUGGGACAGCAAUGGGACAGCUAACGUCAAGGUUGUUGCAGUUUCCCUACUAAUACUGGGCUGGAUUUGAGCUACCUGAGGUGGAGCUGCCCUGCAAGGAGGAAAGCCUGAGCAAAGCUGCAAAGUGGUGUUUACAAAAUGGUUGUCUGAGAAGUAUGAGAUGAAGAUCCUUCAUGCUCGGCGUGACCAGGGGAGACACUAUGCAGACUUAUAUGCCAAGAUAUAAAAGUGUGGUUUAAGAUGCCUACGAAAGCCUUUGCUGGAUGAACAGCUCUCAACCACCCCGAUCGAUUUGCUUGCGAAGCCAUUGAAAACAAAAGAGGCUGACGACAGGGGAAGCCCCAACUUCGACAAUAAAAAUAUGUCAGCAUGAAAAUGG